GUGAUUCUGUCUCUAAGGGCCUGAGAAAUGCAAAAAUGGCUAAGUAGGGAAAGGAAAAUAUAGGUAUGGGGAGAACGAUGAAGGUAGAGAGGUGUACCUCAGGAAUGACAGUAAGAGUGGCCAUGGAAUUGGUUUGGGAUUUGAAGUGAUUAGCAAGUGAAUCAUCAAUGGUCGCUGGAGAUCUCUGAUGGUCGCCAAAAAUCAUCGAGGGUCGCCUUUCACCCGAGAGAAAGAGGAAGCAACAUAUGGUGGUGUGGGAAGAUGGACCGGUGGGGAAGAAGAAGAUGAUAGCUGUAAAUUUAUAAACUCACCCGAGAGGGUAAAUGCGGUAUCUCAUCCGCCGCCUGCGCGAAACUCGAGGAGCUAUUCCCGCCAAACGCUUUUUCAGGCAAUCAUGACUGAGGAGAUUUUGGCAUAGAAAAUAUUUUGUUACUCGAUGAUUGGUAAAUAUUGGCGUUUUCCCAGGGAAGGUAAUCAUGGCUGAGAUAAUUUCGGAGCAAAAGAUAAGUUUCACUCCGAAACUGGGAGGGCAUGUGUUGACACCGUUUUUUGACAUACAUCAAAGAUGGCGUCAAAAGGAAGCAAAGAUGCUGAUGCAUAGUGGAGAGACAACGGCUAGUGGAAUCAUCCGAUGAGGUUGCAGAGGGCUCAGCCGAUGAAGUUAUAAGAGAUCGGCCGAUGAUGGUGAAAGCUGUGCCGAUAGAGGGAGACAGGAGCCUUGCCGAUGGGAUCACAAGGGUGCAGCUGAUGGAGGAUAAUGGAGGCGUAGCCGAUGGAGUCAGCCGAUGUGAGCAGGAGGGUUCUAGCUAAUUGGAAAUGUUGGAGGUUCGGCCGACAGGGAGCAGGUUUUGGCCGGUAGAGGUCAAGUUCGUUUCCGACUCCUGCGCAAGUUGUUUUUAUUUUAUUUUUUGUUUAGAAAGUUUUUUUCUUUAGAGAUAGAUUUUAUGAUUUGUCGUAGCUAACUAGGAUUAGAAAUAUUAAUGUAUAGGGUAUAAAUAGGGGCCUUGUAAGGUCUGGAGAUAUACACAUCAUAAUCAAUACAAAUCUACUAUUUUUUCAAUUUACUUUCAAGUCAGCGACUUCGCCAUCAUUUUCUUUUCUUCACGAGUUCUUCCAAGCUAGUUGGGCUACAUCGCUUCGAUCUCCGGCUAGACUGUAAGUUCCACGUUUACCGAAUACUUUCUAGACUUUAACUUCGGGCGCAUCGUUGUCGUUUCGUCUAGAUUUAUUCACAAGUUAUCGAUAUUUACUAGAUCUGCAAGUUUUAUUCGUUAAAUCUUGUUGUUUUAGUUUUUAGCACAGUUAUCCAGCUUAGAACACGUUCCGAUCGG
This 1331-nucleotide long non-coding RNA is filed under the name Setaria viridis. RNAcentral describes it as "long non-coding RNA (SVIR_LNC000616)". Lineage: Eukaryota; Viridiplantae; Streptophyta; Magnoliopsida; Poales; Poaceae. The record is from RNAcentral.